AUCCAGCUGACGAGUCCAAAAUAGGACGAAACGUGCGUCCUGGAU
This is a non-coding RNA of Schistosoma mansoni, 45 nucleotides long. The record is from Rfam. Lineage: Eukaryota; Metazoa; Platyhelminthes; Trematoda; Strigeidida; Schistosomatidae.